GACGAACGCUGGCGGCGUGCUUAACACAUGCAAGUCGAGCGGUAAGGCCCUUUCGGGGGUACGACGAGCGGCGAACGGGUGAGUAACACGUGGGUGACCUGCCCUCCAGCUCUGGGAUAAGCCUGGGAAACUGGGUCUAAUACUGGAUAUGACUCCACGGUGCAUGUCGGUGGGGUGGAAAGCCUUGUGCGGCUGAGGAUGGGCCCGCGGCCUAUCAGCUUGUUGGUGGGGUGAGGCCUACCAAGGCGACGACGGGUAGCCGGCCUGAGAGGGCGACCGGCCACACUGGGACUGAGACACGGCCCAGACUCCUACGGGAGGCAGCAGUGGGGAAUCUUGCGCAAUGGGCGAAAGCCUGACGCAGCGACGCCGCGUGAGGGAUGACGGCC
RNAcentral lists this ribosomal RNA (389 nucleotides) under uncultured bacterium. RNAcentral's name for it is "bacterial SSU rRNA". It matches the Rfam family "Bacterial small subunit ribosomal RNA", at positions 28 to 416 of the family's 1533-position model. The record is from RNAcentral.